Molecule: ribosomal RNA, 433 nt
Filed under: uncultured bacterium
Lineage: Bacteria
Description: partial 16S ribosomal RNA
Rfam family: Bacterial small subunit ribosomal RNA
Source: RNAcentral
GACGAACGCUGGCGGCAUGCCUAACACAUGCAAGUCGAACGAGACGUUCGGGUCUAGUGGCGCACGGGUGCGUACCGCGGGGGAAUCUGCCCGUGGGUUCGGAAUAACAGUUGGAAACGACUGCUAAUACCGGAUGAUGACGUAAGUCCAAAGAUUUAUCGCCCAAGGAUGAGGGCGCGUAGGAUUAGCUAGUUGGUGAGGUAAAGGCUCACCAAGGCGACGAUCCUUAGCUGGUCGGAGAGGAUGACAAGCCACGCUGGGACUGAGACACGGACCAGAAUCCUACGGGAGGGAGCAGAGGGGAAUAUUGGACGAGGGGGGAAAGCCUGACCCAGCAAUGCCGGGUGAGUGAGGAAGGCCUUAGUGUUGUAAAGCUGUUUUACCCGGGAUGAUAAUGACAGUACCGGGAGAAUAAGCUCCGGCUAACUACGUG